RNAcentral lists this ribosomal RNA (774 nucleotides) under uncultured Neocallimastigales. RNAcentral describes it as "partial large subunit ribosomal RNA". It matches the Rfam family "Eukaryotic large subunit ribosomal RNA", at positions 24 to 635 of the family's 3401-position model. Lineage: Eukaryota; Fungi; Neocallimastigomycota; Neocallimastigomycetes; Neocallimastigales. The record is from RNAcentral.
UAUGUGAUCGUCUCUCGCAUAUCAAUAAGCGGAGGAAAAGAAACUAACAAGGAUUCCCCUAGUAACGGCGAGUGGAGCGGGAAGAGCUCAAAUUUGAAAUCUUAAAGGGUUUCCCUUUACGAAUUGUAGUUUAAAGAAGUGUUUUCUGUUGAGGUUUUGGUAAAAGUUCUUUGGAAUAGGACAUCAUAGAGGGUGAGAAUCCCGUAUUUGACCUUUACUUUCAACUUUGUGAUACACUUUCAAAGAGUCGGAUUGUUUGGGAAUGCAGUCCAAAAUGGGUGGUAAAUUUCAUCUAAAGCUAAAUAUUGGCGAGAGACCGAUAGCGAACAAGUACCGUGAGGGAAAGAUGAAAAGAACUUUGAAAAGAGAGUUAAACAGUACGUGAAAUUGUCAAAAGGGAAGCGUUUGACACCAGUGUUGUUUUUCUGAAAAUCAAUUAAAGAACUGUUUAUGCUAAGUUGUUUAGACUUUAUCAGCUAUCUGUUUAGUUUUGAGCUUUUCUUUAAUGCACUUUUCAGUUAACAAGUCAACAUCAAUUUCUUUUGCUGUAAAAAAGCUUGAGGAAGGUGGCUUGAGAUUCGUCUUAAGUGUUUAUAGCCUCUUGCCUAUGCAGUCGGAGAGAUUGAGGUCUGCAGCGUAGAUCCUUCGGGGCUAAAUGCAUUUGUGCUAAGUUAUAGCAUUUUAUAGACAACUUGUUGACUAUGAUUUGUCUUGUAGCUUACUCGCUUAUGUUAUUUUACCUACGCUUAGGAUGUUGAUCUACAGAGCGAGAGU